Molecule: ribosomal RNA, 449 nt
Filed under: uncultured bacterium
Lineage: Bacteria
Description: partial 16S ribosomal RNA
Rfam family: Bacterial small subunit ribosomal RNA
Source: RNAcentral
AGCGAACGCUGGCGGCAGGCCUAACACAUGCAAGUCGAACGAAGUCUUCGGACUUAGUGGCGGACGGGUGAGUAACACGUGGGAACGUGCCUUUAGGUUCGGAAUAACUCAGGGAAACUUGUGCUAAUACCGAAUGUGCCCUUCGGGGGAAAGAUUUAUCGCCUUUAGAGCGGCCCGCGUCUGACUAGCUAGUUGGUGAGGUAAAGGCUCACCAAGGCGAGGAUCAGUAGCUGGUCUGAGAGGAUGAUCUGCCACAUUGGGACUGAGACACGGCCCAACCUCCUACGGGAGGCAGCAGUGGGGAAUCUUGCGCAGUGGGCGAAAGCCUGACGCAGCCAUGCCGCGUGAAUGAUGAAGGUCUUAGGAUUGUAAAAUUCUUUCACCGGGGACGAUAAUGACGGUACCCGGAGAAGAAGCCCCGGCUAACUUCGUGCCAGCCGCCGCGGUAA